UUAAAGUCUGGCCUGCCCAAUGAUUAUUUGAAUGGCCGCGGUAUAUUGACCGUGCAAAGGUAGCAUAAUAAUUAGUUUUUUAAUUGGAAGCUAGCAUGAAUGGUUGGACGAAAGAGCGACUGUCUUUGGUUAAUUAAUAAAAUUUUAUUUUUAAGUGAAAAAGCUUAGAUUACCUUAAAAGACGAGAAGACCCUAUAGAGUUUUAUAUUUUAUUAUGUGAUGGUUUAUAUGGAAGGUUUUAAUUAUUAUAUAUUAAGGUAUUUUGUUGGGGUGACAGAAAAACUGAUAUAACUUUUUUUUUUUUUAUUCACUUAUUUGUGCUUAGUUGAUCCGUUUUUAGCGAUUAUAAGACUAAAUUACCUUAGGGAUAACAGCGUAAUUUUUUUUUAGAGUUCUUAUCGAAAUGAAAGUUUGCGACCUCGAUGUUGGAUUAAAAUUAAUGUUUGGUGCAGUAGCUAGGCAAUUAGGUCUGUUCGACCUUUGAAAUUUUACA
RNAcentral lists this ribosomal RNA (493 nucleotides) under Camenta sp. DA0864. RNAcentral's name for it is "partial 16S large subunit ribosomal RNA". It matches the Rfam family "Archaeal large subunit ribosomal RNA", at positions 1939 to 2669 of the family's 2987-position model. The record is from RNAcentral. Lineage: Eukaryota; Metazoa; Arthropoda; Insecta; Coleoptera; Scarabaeidae.